GUACGUGAAAUUGUUGAAAGGGAAACGAUUGAAGUCAGUCGUGCCUGCCUAGAUUCAGCCUUCUGGUGUAUUUCUAGGUCGGCAGGUCAGCAUCAGUUUGGGGGGGUUAACAAGGGAGCUGGGAAUGUGGCAACCUCGGUUGUGUUAUAGCCCAGUUUCGCAUUGAUCUCGCUGGACUGAGGAACGCAGUGCGCCCGCAAGGGUUGGUCUUCGGACACAUUCGCACUUAGGAUGCUGGCAUAAUGGCUUUAAACGACCCGUCUUGUAAC
This 269-nucleotide ribosomal RNA is filed under the name Thalassiosira minuscula. Its description in RNAcentral is "partial Eukaryotic large subunit ribosomal RNA". The record is from RNAcentral. Lineage: Eukaryota; Bacillariophyta; Thalassiosirophyceae; Thalassiosirales; Thalassiosiraceae.